GAUGAACGCUGGCGGCGUGCCUAAUACAUGCAAGUCGAGCGAACGGACGAGAAGCUUGCUUCUCUGAUGUUAGCGGCGGACGGGUGAGUAACACGUGGAUAACCUACCUAUAAGACUGGGAUAACUUCGGGAAACCGGAGCUAAUACCGGAUAAUAUUUUGAACCGCAUGGUUCAAAAGUGAAAGACGGUCUUGCUGUCACUUAUAGAUGGAUCCGCGCUGCAUUAGCUAGUUGGUAAGGUAACGGCUUACCAAGGCAACGAUGCAUAGCCGACCUGAGAGGGUGAUCGGCCACACUGGAACUGAGACACGGUCCAGACUCCUACGGGAGGCAGCAGUAGGGAAUCUUCCGCAAUGGGCGAAAGCCUGACGGAGCAACGCCGCGUGAGUGAUGAAGGUCUUCGGAUCGUAAAACUCUGUUAUUAGGGAAGAACAGAUGUGUAAGUAACCGUGCACAUCUUGACGGUACCUAAACAGAAAGCCACGGCUAACUACGUG
This 497-nucleotide ribosomal RNA is filed under the name uncultured bacterium. RNAcentral describes it as "partial 16S ribosomal RNA". It matches the Rfam family "Bacterial small subunit ribosomal RNA", at positions 28 to 507 of the family's 1533-position model. The record is from RNAcentral.